UCUUAGCAGCUUUUAAGUAAGAACAAAAUUGGCACUGAAAUCCAACUUAUUUCUCUUCUACCCAGGCACUACCUAGAGUCCAUUGAAAAUUGGACUUCACGGUCAACUUGCUCCUUGCUAACAACUGAACAAACAAUUGAGGCAUUUGGCAGGCCAUGAGUGAGAGCCAGAGGUCAUUUUGAGAGGCUACGUUCAGCCCUUCAAUAAAUUUUAGACACAUUGUCCCAUCUGAAGGCAUCCGGGACCAGGGAUCCCUCAGUCAACUGUCAGCCAGCCUCUAGGAGGAGAGCCAACAGGUUGACAUGUACUGGCCAGAGCCCUGUGGCAACCCCGACCAGACCAACAGAACCAGGCAGCAGCACUCACCCUGACUCAAAGUAUGGCAAGCUAAAUAGUCACGGUCACUGCCGUAUCACCAGCAGAUGGGGAAGAAACAGCACAGGCUGGUACCUGGGUCAUGUAAUACUGAGUGCAAAUAAAAAGGUUCCCAGUAUUGUUCUCAAUGGUCGACCUUCUGUAACGUCAUAA
This 528-nucleotide long non-coding RNA is filed under the name Canis lupus familiaris (dog). RNAcentral describes it as "lncRNA (ENSCAFG00000043165.2, ENSCAFG00805020488.1)". Lineage: Eukaryota; Metazoa; Chordata; Mammalia; Carnivora; Canidae. The record is from RNAcentral.